This 1137-nucleotide ribosomal RNA is filed under the name Klebsiella pneumoniae. RNAcentral's name for it is "bacterial SSU rRNA". It matches the Rfam family "Bacterial small subunit ribosomal RNA", at positions 1 to 1125 of the family's 1533-position model. Lineage: Bacteria; Pseudomonadati; Pseudomonadota; Gammaproteobacteria; Enterobacterales; Enterobacteriaceae. The record is from RNAcentral.
ACUUAAAUUGAAGAGUUUGAUCAUGGCUCAGAUUGAACGCUGGCGGCAGGCCUAACACAUGCAAGUCGAGCGGUAGCACAGAGAGCUUGCUCUCGGGUGACGAGCGGCGGACGGGUGAGUAAUGUCUGGGAAACUGCCUGAUGGAGGGGGAUAACUACUGGAAACGGUAGCUAAUACCGCAUAACGUCGCAAGACCAAAGUGGGGGACCUUCGGGCCUCAUGCCAUCAGAUGUGCCCAGAUGGGAUUAGCUAGUAGGUGGGGUAACGGCUCACCUAGGCGACGAUCCCUAGCUGGUCUGAGAGGAUGACCAGCCACACUGGAACUGAGACACGGUCCAGACUCCUACGGGAGGCAGCAGUGGGGAAUAUUGCACAAUGGGCGCAAGCCUGAUGCAGCCAUGCCGCGUGUGUGAAGAAGGCCUUCGGGUUGUAAAGCACUUUCAGCGGGGAGGAAGGCGUUAAGGUUAAUAACCUUGGCGAUUGACGUUACCCGCAGAAGAAGCACCGGCUAACUCCGUGCCAGCAGCCGCGGUAAUACGGAGGGUGCAAGCGUUAAUCGGAAUUACUGGGCGUAAAGCGCACGCAGGCGGUCUGUCAAGUCGGAUGUGAAAUCCCCGGGCUCAACCUGGGAACUGCAUUCGAAACUGGCAGGCUAGAGUCUUGUAGAGGGGGGUAGAAUUCCAGGUGUAGCGGUGAAAUGCGUAGAGAUCUGGAGGAAUACCGGUGGCGAAGGCGGCCCCCUGGACAAAGACUGACGCUCAGGUGCGAAAGCGUGGGGAGCAAACAGGAUUAGAUACCCUGGUAGUCCACGCCGUAAACGAUGUCGAUUUGGAGGUUGUGCCCUUGAGGCGUGGCUUCCGGAGCUAACGCGUUAAAUCGACCGCCUGGGGAGUACGGCCGCAAGGUUAAAACUCAAAUGAAUUGACGGGGGCCCGCACAAGCGGUGGAGCAUGUGGUUUAAUUCGAUGCAACGCGAAGAACCUUACCUGGUCUUGACAUCCACAGAACUUUCCAGAGAUGGAUUGGUGCCUUCGGGAACUGUGAGACAGGUGCUGCAUGGCUGUCGUCAGCUCGUGUUGUGAAAUGUUGGGUUAAGUCCCGCAACGAGCGCAACCCUUAUCCUUUGUUGCCAGCGGU